This is a non-coding RNA of Oryza brachyantha (malo sina), 83 nucleotides long. Lineage: Eukaryota; Viridiplantae; Streptophyta; Magnoliopsida; Poales; Poaceae. The record is from Rfam.
GAUUGGCUGGAAUGAUGAAUCAAUUAGACGUGUGAACUCACUAUAUGAUGUAAACUUUUGAGGCAUAAUUAGACCCGCCAAGU